RNA transcript from Momordica charantia (bitter melon), 1429 nucleotides. It is a transcript of the gene named Fe superoxide dismutase 3, with no coding region annotated. Lineage: Eukaryota; Viridiplantae; Streptophyta; Magnoliopsida; Cucurbitales; Cucurbitaceae. The record is from RefSeq and is a predicted model, not a curated record.
GCCCAGGUGCACGUAGCGGGAAAUCAGAAAUUUCUUCUUCUUACCAGCGAGCCCGAAUUGAACACCGGCGGCAAUAUUCCAGCUUCCCGCAGAUUUCUGUAAUUUCUCAAAACCGACACGAAAAAUCCCUCUUCUCCUACUUCUAUCUGUUCUAUCUCUGAAAAAACGCAGAGAAAUCUAUCAACCCAACUUCCUGCAGACGACUGCAGCAGCUCAUGAGUAUUUAGUUUCCAGAGAUACAAGACAAUGAUUUCUUGCUACAAUCCUCUGAAUGUGAACUCUCAGCUUCUGCUGACAAAUUCUUCUCAGCAGUUCAAGAGCCCCAAGCAUCCUUAUCUGCAUCAGAGUAAGUUGCAUAAGAGAAGCUCUGAUAUAACCCCAAGAGGAAUGAAAGUCACUGCUUAUUAUGGCUUGAAGACACCUCCUUAUGAACUUGAUGCUUUAGAACCAUAUUUGAGUCGGAGGACAUUGGAGGUUCACUGGGGUAAACAUCACCGUAAUUACGUUGAAGGUUUGAACAAACAACUGAGCCAGAACGAUACACUAUAUGGCUACACUUUGGAUGAACUUCUCAAAGUAACAUACAACAAUGGGAAUCCUUUACCUGAAUUUAACAAUGCUGCCCAGGUCUGGAAUCACGACUUUUUCUGGGAAUCCAUGCAACCUGGAGGAGGAAACAUGCCCAUACUUGGUGUUCUACAACAAAUUGAAAAAGAUUUCGGUUCUUUCUCAAAUUUCAAGGACAAGUUUAUAGAAUCAUCUCUUUCACUCUUUGGUUCUGGCUGGGUUUGGCUUGUUUUGAAGAGACAAGAAAAACAACUCGCCGUGAUCAAAACGUCGAAUGCCAUAAGCCCACUUGUUUGGGAUGACAUUCCAAUUAUCUGCUUGGAUAUGUGGGAGCAUGCUUAUUAUCUUGAUUACAAGAAUGAUAAAAAAGAGUACGUCGAUGUGUUUAUGGACCAUCUUGUAUCGUGGAAUGCAGCGACAGGGCGUAUGGCUCGGGCCGAGUGUUUCGUGAACUUAGGAGAGCCGAAAAUUCCUGUAGCGUAAUGAUAUUCAUACCAUUGAUGCCAAAGAGUUGUUAGCAAUUGAUCCAAGCAACCAAAGCCUCAGUGGUGUAGGUGAUUGAUAAUGAUGAAAGAAAAUGACAGUAAUGAGAGUUGUGAAAAUUGGAGACCUCCAUCAGCGACGAUGAAGACGACAUUGGCGUCAUAUAUCUGUGAUUGAAGGUUUGUUUUUUCUAUACAGAGAAUCUUUACCUCCCCAUUUUGCCCCCAACUUUUUAAGAUAUACCAAGUUUACCCUUCAUCUAUAUUAUAUAUUAUUCCGAUGCUAUUAUUUGAAUGUGUUUAGAUAAGUAAUACAUUGAAAAGGUAGGACUAUUAUUCCUUUACAAACCAUUUAUAGAAGGGGUGCGUCCGUUGAUGAA